UGUUACUGGUCGGAAGAUGUUCUUGAUUGUAGAGGAGAGGAAUCUCUCUAUAUAAAAGGAAAGCAGGCAGGGGCCUGCAAAAAGACGGGUCGUGAGGGAGGAAAGAGCCCCUUCAGGAGAAGGAGGAUGUCAUUGUAUUUGUAGACCACCCCAAACUUCCAUCUCUGGGCAGUUUACAACAUAAAACAGAUUAAAGAUGAAGACCUUAAAACAAAGAAUUGGGCAAAAAAAUAAGACUUUAAAGACUUAUUGGGAGUGGAGCCUGGGGAGGCUCUUAUUUCAGCAAGGAGCACAUUCCAGAGCAUCAGGAAAGCAAGAGUGAAGCCGGUGGCAACUGCAGAUGAUCCUCUUCAGAUGAUCUCAAGGGUUGGUGGGGCUCAAGGCAAAGAAGAUGUUCUCUUAAAUAUCCAGGAUUUAAGCUGUUUAGGGCUUUCUUGGUUAUAACCAGCACCUUGUAUUUUGCCCAGAAAUGUAUUGGUAGCCAAUGUAGCUCUUUUAAUAUAGAAGUAAUAUGGUUUCUCCAAGAUGACACGGUGACCAAACCUGGCAGCCACAUUCUGUACGAACUGCCGUUUCCGGACUAUGUACAAACUCAGCCCCACUUAGAGCACAUUUUAGUAGUCAAGCCUGGAGGUUACGAGCAUAUGUGCCACUGUUCUAAGGUUAUCUACCACAAGAAACGAGCUCAGCUGGCAUAUCAGCUGGAGCUGAUAGAAAGCACCUCUGGCCACCACCUCAGCCUAGGACACCACAGAUAUUUUGGGAUCCAGAAGUACCCCCCGACUGCGUACCUCUUCCAGGGAACUGUGACCCUAUCCAUAUUUAUGCUUAGGAUAUAUUUUUUUUUUACUCUGAUGGCUUAUUCAUCCCUGUUGUAAUUGCUGUGCAAUUGUGGUUACGCAAGCACCACAUAAUGACUAGUUAUUUGUAAUUUUUUACAGUACCUUGAGGCCAUUGUGUUCACUCAUGAGAUGCCUUGAGUGCCCUAUAUUGGGCAGAAAUGUAGGAUAAGAUAAAUAAAUUAAAGAAUGCCUGGACAUAUGCAUGGAUAAAUACAUGUAAAUAAAGAGAUAAAUAAUUCCCCCUGCCCACA
Molecule: long non-coding RNA, 1093 nt
Organism: Hemicordylus capensis (graceful crag lizard)
Lineage: Eukaryota; Metazoa; Chordata; Lepidosauria; Squamata; Cordylidae
Exons: 2
Source: RefSeq, a predicted model, not a curated record